Acanthosepion pharaonis is the source of this 91-nucleotide non-coding RNA. NCBI's taxonomy places the organism in Eukaryota, Metazoa, Mollusca, Cephalopoda, Sepiida, Sepiidae. The record is from the annotation of a GenBank genome assembly.
UCACUGGAUCCUGUAUGAUCACUGAAGUUAAGCAACUUCGAGCCUAGUCAGUACCUUGAUGGUGACUGCUUGGAAAUACCAGGUGCUGUAA